RNAcentral lists this unclassified non-coding RNA (353 nucleotides) under soil metagenome. RNAcentral describes it as "partial contains 5.8S ribosomal RNA, internal transcribed spacer 2, and large subunit ribosomal RNA". The stretch from base 1 to 120 matches the Rfam family "5.8S ribosomal RNA", at positions 35 to 154 of the family's 154-position model. The record is from RNAcentral.
GAUGAAGAACGCAGCGAAAUGCGAUAAGUAAUGUGAAUUGCAGAAUUCAGUGAAUCAUCGAAUCUUUGAACGCACAUUGCGCCCGCCAGUAUUCUGGCGGGCAUGCCUGUUCGAGCGUCAUUACAACCCUCAGGCCCCCGGGCCUGGCGUUGGGGAUCGGCGGAAGCCCCCUGCGGGCACAACGCCGUCCCCCAAAUACAGUGGCGGUCCCGCCGCAGCUUCCAUUGCGUAGUAGCUAACACCUCGCAACUGGAGAGCGGCGCGGCCACGCCGUAAAACACCCAACUUCUGAAUGUUGACCUCGAAUCAGGUCGGAAUACCCGCUGAACUUAAGCAUAUCAAUAAGCGGAGGA